Callorhinus ursinus (northern fur seal) is the source of this 443-nucleotide non-coding RNA. The record is from RefSeq and is a predicted model, not a curated record. Lineage: Eukaryota; Metazoa; Chordata; Mammalia; Carnivora; Otariidae.
GGGCGCAGCCUGACCCCCGCCGCAGCGCCGCCCCGCCGCUGCUCCCGAACGCACGGCGGGCUGCUUCCAGGAGUCUCCGAGGCAUGACCACUUGUUACAGGGCCCCACAUCAACUCCUCUGCUAACAUCGACCUCUUACCCAGAAGUGGCGCUUACCUGCCCCUGGUCCCACUGCAAGGUAUCACCUUUCCUCGGGCUAUUUCUGCAGCUAGGCAGAAAGAAGAAGGAAAAGAACUAAGAAGAGCCUGUGGCUGUAUGUGGAUGCCAGGCUUCCUAUUUUAAGUUUGGUUUCAAGAAAGCUUUGCUAUAUUUUAUAUGCAGGGGCCAAAGGGCCAGAGACUCACAAAUGACUCAACGCUUCCUUUCUUCCUCUUAAAGAAACACGCCCAAGGCUUAAUGGCCCUAAAUGAGAAUUCCAUGAAGAAUAAAGAAAUUUACUUCUA